RNAcentral lists this ribosomal RNA (625 nucleotides) under Naganishia diffluens. RNAcentral's name for it is "eukaryotic LSU rRNA". It matches the Rfam family "Eukaryotic large subunit ribosomal RNA", at positions 38 to 667 of the family's 3401-position model. Lineage: Eukaryota; Fungi; Basidiomycota; Tremellomycetes; Filobasidiales; Filobasidiaceae. The record is from RNAcentral. RNAcentral also lists the same sequence under 1 other name.
GCAUAUCAAUAAGCGGAGGAAAAGAAACUAACAAGGAUUCCCCUAGUAACGGCGAGUGAAGCGGGAAGAGCUCAAAUUUGAAAUCUAGUAGCCUUCGGCUGCUCGAGUUGUAAUCUAGAGAAGUGUUUUCCGUGCCGGCCCAUGUACAAGUCCCUUGGAACAGGGCGUCAUAGAGGGUGAGAAUCCCGUCCUUGACAUGGACCCCCGGUGCUCUGUGAUACACUUUCAACGAGUCGAGUUGUUUGGGAAUGCAGCUCAAAAUGGGUGGUGAAUUCCAUCUAAAGCUAAAUAUUGGCGAGAGACCGAUAGCGAACAAGUACCGUGAGGGAAAGAUGAAAAGCACUUUGGAAAGAGAGUUAAACAGUACGUGAAAUUGUUGAAAGGGAAACGAUUGAAGUCAGUCAUGCUCUUUGGUAUUUAUAUCAUUGAGUGGGGUCAACAUCAGUUUUGAGCGAUGGAUAAAGGCACUAGGAAGGUAGCACUCUCGGGUGAACUUAUAGCCUAGCGUCAUAUACAUUGUUUGGGACUGAGGAACGCAGCAUGCCUUUAUGGCCGGGAUUCGUCCACGUACAUGCUUAGGAUGUUGACAUAAUGGCUUUAAACGACCCGUCUUGAAACACGGACC